GCGUGAGUGAUGAAGGCCUUAGGGUUGUAAAGCUCUUUCAGCGGGGAAGAUAAUGACGGUACCCGCAGAAGAAGCCCCGGCUAACUUCGUGCCAGCAGCCGCGGUAAUACGAAGGGGGCUAGCGUUGUUCGGAAUCACUGGGCGUAAAGCGCGUGUAGGCGGAUCGUUAAGUCGGGGGUGAAAUCCUGAGGCUCAACCUCAGAACUGCCUUCGAUACUGGCGAUCUUAGAGUCCGGGAGAGGUGAGUGGAACUCCUAGUGUAGAGGUGAAAUUCGU
RNAcentral lists this ribosomal RNA (276 nucleotides) under uncultured bacterium. RNAcentral's name for it is "partial 16S ribosomal RNA". It matches the Rfam family "Bacterial small subunit ribosomal RNA", at positions 399 to 691 of the family's 1533-position model. The record is from RNAcentral.